AACGAACGCUGGCGGCAUGCCUAACACAUGCAAGUCGAACGAGACCUUCGGGUCUAGUGGCGCACGGGUGCGUAACGCGUGGGAACCUGCCCUUAGGCUCGGAAUAACUCCCCGAAAGGGGUGCUAAUACCGGAUAAUGUCUUCGGACCAAAGAUUUAUCGCCUUUGGAUGGGCCCGCGUUGGAUUAGCUAGUUGGUAGGGUAAAAGCCUACCAAGGCGACGAUCCAUAGCUGGUCUGAGAGGAUGAUCAGCCACACUGGGACUGAGACACGGCCCAGACUCCUACGGGAGGCAGCAGUGGGGGAUAUUGGCAAAUGGGGGGAAGCAUGAUCCAGCAAGGCCGCGUGAGUGAUGAAGGCCUUAGAGUUGUAAAGCUCUUUUACCCGGGAUGAUAAUGACAGUACCGGGAGAAUAAGCUCCGGCUAACUCCGUG
This 433-nucleotide ribosomal RNA is filed under the name uncultured bacterium. RNAcentral describes it as "partial 16S ribosomal RNA". It matches the Rfam family "Bacterial small subunit ribosomal RNA", at positions 29 to 507 of the family's 1533-position model. The record is from RNAcentral.